GCUUGCCUGGACAACACAUGUAUCAAAAUUGGAAGAAUCCGAGAAGAUGAGCCUGGCCCCUAUGCAAGGACAGCACUCAAAUCUGUGAGGAAUUCCAUAUUUUC
This is a small nuclear RNA of Molossus molossus (Pallas's mastiff bat), 104 nucleotides long. The record is from RefSeq and is a predicted model, not a curated record. Lineage: Eukaryota; Metazoa; Chordata; Mammalia; Chiroptera; Molossidae.